RNA transcript from Papaver somniferum (opium poppy), 857 nucleotides. RefSeq lists it as uncharacterized. Lineage: Eukaryota; Viridiplantae; Streptophyta; Magnoliopsida; Ranunculales; Papaveraceae. The transcript has 2 exons. The record is from RefSeq and is a predicted model, not a curated record.
UAUAUUUUUGCGAUCAGGUUAAAUCUGAUUUGGAUAUAUACUUUUAUCUCGAGAAUCGUCCGGCGGUCUCGAGCUAUGGAUUAAAAUCUCAAAAUCUAACUCGAUCUCACACUCUCACUUCAUUUGGCCGCCUUUUUCUUUCUCUAUAGCUUAUGAGUCUACAACUAAGGAAAGAUGGAAAUCAUGGUGGUAUGAACUGAGGCAAGUAUAAGAACAUGAUACUCAUGUUUGGAGCUCGCGUUUUGAUUUAUUUUUACUGGUUGUUCGUAUUUAGCUUUAGGUUUAGGUAUAUCACUGGUUGUUGUUCAAUGUUCGGCGGCAGUUGAUGAUGAAGAUGGGAAGUUCAACGAUGUUAGCAAACUCAAAUAGAUGUUGACGGUGGUAAAAAUGGACCAAGAUGUAGUUGUUGUUGCUGUGGUGGUUUCGAAGAUGUUCAUAGAAGUGGUGAUGGAACAAAUGGCUGUGGUGGUUUUGAGGAUGCUGUUGUUGGUGAUUUUGAAGAUGUUGAUGGAGGUGGAAAUGGACCAAACUGCUGCGAUGGUUUUGUAGAUGCUGAUGGGAGGUGGAAAUAAUGGACCAAAUGGUUGCUGCUGUUGCACUGGGACAUGGCGUUCAGAACACGACCCGGUGGGAUCCUUAAGGUUCACCAUUCCAGAUCCAAGGUCUAGGUGCAGUUGGUGCCAUACCUGAUUAACUGUGGUUAGCUACUCUAGUUACAAGGGAAAGGUAUAUAAGUAAAAAUUUGGGACUGUUUUUUCAUAUCUGUUAGAUCGGAUGGAAGAUGACUAUUUUUUAUUUGUAAUUGGAAAGUAUGACCAUUUUGUAACCCAAUUAUAAAAAGUAUCACCAUUUUGUAA